AUACUUACCUGGCAGGGGAGAUACCAGGAUCACAAAGGUGGUUUUCCCAGAGCGAGGCUUUCCCAUUGCACUCUGGAUGUACUGACCCCUGCGAUUUCCCCGAAUGUGGUAAACUCCACUGCGUAAUUUGUGGUAGUGGGGGACUGCGUUCCCACUCUCCCUAA
Myotis lucifugus (little brown bat) is the source of this 164-nucleotide small nuclear RNA. Its record names the gene U1. It matches the Rfam family "U1 spliceosomal RNA". Rfam says of the family: U1 is a small nuclear RNA (snRNA) component of the spliceosome (involved in pre-mRNA splicing). Its 5' end forms complementary base pairs with the 5' splice junction, thus defining the 5' donor site of an intron. There are significant differences in sequence and secondary structure between metazoan and yeast U1 snRNAs, the latter being much longer (568 nucleotides as compared to 164 nucleotides in human). The record is from Ensembl. NCBI's taxonomy places the organism in Eukaryota, Metazoa, Chordata, Mammalia, Chiroptera, Vespertilionidae.